Molecule: long non-coding RNA, 480 nt
Organism: Diorhabda sublineata
Lineage: Eukaryota; Metazoa; Arthropoda; Insecta; Coleoptera; Chrysomelidae
Exons: 2
Source: RefSeq, a predicted model, not a curated record
CUUCCAUAAAAGAAAAAUGAUUCAAGUCAUUUAAGACAUAGAUAAAGAAAUGAAUUAGAACUGCAUUAAUUAUUCUCUAUAAUUUCGUUUUGAAUUAUAUGGACACUUUUUAUAUACAUACAAAAAUGGAUCUAUUUCAGUGAAACUAAUGCUGCUGAAACUAAGUAUUAUUCAGUACAUCUACAAGUAAGAUUUCAAACAAUAUACAAAAUUUAGAACAUUUGCUAUCUUUGUUGUGAUUCAAUUACGGAACUUUUUUGCAAAUUACUUUUUAAGGUUGCAAAGUGAUAACCCAAUAGCAGCUGAAAGUUAUAAAAGAGACAUAGCUUUAGGUGGAGGUGACCUAUGACUGUUAAAAAAUAUGUUUAUAUAGUGCUAUAUUUUAUUCCUAUUUUGAGUGUGAUGAUGAUGAUGAUUUUUUUAUCAAGGAUAAUUGUAUGUAAAUGACAAAUAAAAGUUCUAUAUGUAUUUCCAAUUUUA